AAAUUGAAGAGUUUGAUCAUGGCUCAGAUUGAACGCUGGCGGCAGGCCUAACACAUGCAAGUCGAACGGUAACAGGAAGCAGCUUGCUGCUUCGCUGACGAGUGGCGGACGGGUGAGUAAUGUCUGGGAAACUGCCUGAUGGAGGGGGAUAACUACUGGAAACGGUGGCUAAUACCGCAUAACGUCGCAAGACCAAAGAGGGGGACCUUCGGGCCUCUUGCCAUCAGAUGUGCCCAGAUGGGAUUAGCUUGUUGGUGAGGUAACGGCUCACCAAGGCGACGAUCCCUAGCUGGUCUGAGAGGAUGACCAGCCACACUGGAACUGAGACACGGUCCAGACUCCUACGGGAGGCAGCAGUGGGGAAUAUUGCACAAUGGGCGCAAGCCUGAUGCAGCCAUGCCGCGUGUAUGAAGAAGGCCUUCGGGUUGUAAAGUACUUUCAGCGGGGAGGAAGGUGUUGUGGUUAAUAACCGCAGCAAUUGACGUUACCCGCAGAAGAAGCACCGGCUAACUCCGUGCCAGCAGCCGCGGUAAUACGGAGGGUGCAAGCGUUAAUCGGAAUUACUGGGCGUAAAGCGCACGCAGGCGGUCUGUCAAGUCGGAUGUGAAAUCCCCGGGCUCAACCUGGGAACUGCAUUCGAAACUGGCAGGCUUGAGUCUUGUAGAGGGGGGUAGAAUUCCAGGUGUAGCGGUGAAAUGCGUAGAGAUCUGGAGGAAUACCGGUGGCGAAGGCGGCCCCCUGGACAAAGACUGACGCUCAGGUGCGAAAGCGUGGGGAGCAAACAGGAUUAGAUACCCUGGUAGUCCACGCCGUAAACGAUGUCUACUUGGAGGUUGUGCCCUUGAGGCGUGGCUUCCGGAGCUAACGCGUUAAGUAGACCGCCUGGGGAGUACGGCCGCAAGGUUAAAACUCAAAUGAAUUGACGGGGGCCCGCACAAGCGGUGGAGCAUGUGGUUUAAUUCGAUGCAACGCGAAGAACCUUACCUGGUCUUGACAUCCACGGAAGUUUUCAGAGAUGAGAAUGUGCCUUCGGGAACCGUGAGACAGGUGCUGCAUGGCUGUCGUCAGCUCGUGUUGUGAAAUGUUGGGUUAAGUCCCGCAACGAGCGCAACCCUUAUCCUUUGUUGCCAGCGGUCCGGCCGGGAACUCAAAGGAGACUGCCAGUGAUAAACUGGAGGAAGGUGGGGAUGACGUCAAGUCAUCAUGGCCCUUACGACCAGGGCUACACACGUGCUACAAUGGCGCAUACAAAGAGAAGCGACCUCGCGAGAGCAAGCGGACCUCAUAAAGUGCGUCGUAGUCCGGAUUGGAGUCUGCAACUCGACUCCAUGAAGUCGGAAUCGCUAGUAAUCGUGGAUCAGAAUGCCACGGUGAAUACGUUCCCGGGCCUUGUACACACCGCCCGUCACACCAUGGGAGUGGGUUGCAAAAGAAGUAGGUAGCUUAACCUUCGGGAGGGCGCUUACCACUUUGUGAUUCAUGACUGGGGUGAAGUCGUAACAAGGUAACCGUAGGGGAACCUGCGGUUGGAUCACCUCCUUACCUUAAAGAAGC
This 1554-nucleotide ribosomal RNA is filed under the name Salmonella enterica subsp. enterica serovar Oranienburg. RNAcentral's name for it is "bacterial SSU rRNA". It matches the Rfam family "Bacterial small subunit ribosomal RNA". Lineage: Bacteria; Pseudomonadati; Pseudomonadota; Gammaproteobacteria; Enterobacterales; Enterobacteriaceae. RNAcentral also lists the same sequence under 6 other names. The record is from RNAcentral.